GGGAGGAUAGUUUAAUCGGGAAAAUUCCUGCCUUGCAAGCAGGGGUUCCGGGUUCGAUUCCCGGUCCUUCCACCU
This 75-nucleotide transfer RNA is filed under the name Gloeobacter violaceus SpSt-379. RNAcentral's name for it is "tRNA-Ala". It matches the Rfam family "tRNA". From Rfam's summary of the family: Transfer RNA (tRNA) molecules are approximately 80 nucleotides in length. Their secondary structure includes four short double-helical elements and three loops (D, anti-codon, and T loops). Lineage: Bacteria; Bacillati; Cyanobacteriota; Cyanophyceae; Gloeobacterales; Gloeobacteraceae. The record is from RNAcentral.